RNAcentral lists this ribosomal RNA (497 nucleotides) under uncultured bacterium. Its description in RNAcentral is "partial 16S ribosomal RNA". It matches the Rfam family "Bacterial small subunit ribosomal RNA", at positions 28 to 507 of the family's 1533-position model. The record is from RNAcentral.
GAUGAACGCUGGCGGCGUGCCUAAUACAUGCAAGUCGAGCGAACGGACGAGAAGCUUGCUUCUCUGAUGUUAGCGGCGGACGGGUGAGUAACACGUGGAUAACCUACCUAUAAGACUGGGAUAACUUCGGGAAACCGGAGCUAAUACCGGAUGAUAUUUUGAACCGCAUGGUUCAAAAGUGAAAGACGGUCUUGCUGUCACUUAUAGAUGGAUCCGCGCUGCAUUAGCUAGUUGGUAAAGUAACGGCUUACCAAGGCAACGAUGCAUAGCCGACCUGAGAGGGUGAUCGGCCACACUGGAACUGAGACACGGUCCAGACUCCUACGGGAGGCAGCAGUAGGGAAUCUUCCGCAAUGGGCGAAAGCCUGACGGAGCAACGCCGCGUGAGUGAUGAAGGUCUUCGGAUCGUAAAACUCUGUUAUUAGGGAAGAACAUAUGUGUAAGUAACUGUGCACAUCUUGACGGUACCUAAUCAGAAAGCCGCGGCUAACUACGUG